Small nucleolar RNA from Nycticebus coucang (slow loris), 103 nucleotides. RefSeq annotates it as small nucleolar RNA U13. Lineage: Eukaryota; Metazoa; Chordata; Mammalia; Primates; Lorisidae. The transcript has a single exon. The record is from RefSeq and is a predicted model, not a curated record.
AUCCUUUUGUAGUUCACAAGCAUGAUGGCCAGUGCUCACAUACAUGUGUGAGCUGUGCCUCCCUCAGACUUUGUUAUAAUGUCAGCACAUUACAUAUUUGACA